This 630-nucleotide ribosomal RNA is filed under the name Triticum aestivum (bread wheat). RNAcentral describes it as "partial small subunit ribosomal RNA". Lineage: Eukaryota; Viridiplantae; Streptophyta; Magnoliopsida; Poales; Poaceae. The record is from RNAcentral.
AUGUGUGAGAAACUUAUUCCUGCGAUCCAAGAGCGCUGGCCGGACGAAGAUGAAGGACGGACAAUCUAUAUCCAACAAGAUAAUGCCACACCACAUAUUCUUCCCAAUGACCCGGUUUUCCGACAAGUCAUAGAACAAACUGAUUUGAAUAUUAAGUUGCUUCAACAGCCUCCAAAUAGUCCCGACAUGAACAUUCUUGAUCUCUGCAUAUUCAGGUCUCUCCAGUCCCACACCGAUAGCAGAGCACCUCAAAGCAUUAGGGAACUGAUAGAAGGUGUGGAGGAGGAAUAUCGAAACUACCCGGUUGAUAAGCUAGCUAGAAGCUUCGUGACGCUGCAGUCAUGCAUCCGAGAGGUAAUGAGAAACAAAGGAGCGAUAAACUACUCGAUCCCUCACAUGAGCAAGGAACGCCGGCAGGCAAAAGGACGGCUUCCUAUAGCUCUAUCUAUCGACCGUGAGCUAGUUAAACAGACCAUAGCCUUUAUAGAAGAGGCAGAAGCAAUCUUAGCAGCAGAAAAAGAGCAGAAGCAGCAGGAAAAGAGCAGCAAGAAAAGAGCCGCAGCAGCCACCAAGAAGCAGAAACACCCUUCGAAUACCAGCAGCCUCCAAGCAGCAGGAAAAGAGAAGUAG